This is a non-coding RNA of Puma concolor (puma), 582 nucleotides long. The record is from RefSeq and is a predicted model, not a curated record. Lineage: Eukaryota; Metazoa; Chordata; Mammalia; Carnivora; Felidae.
AGGACAUUAUACUUAUGAUUGUCAUCGUUAUAGCCGGCGGAGGAGAAGCAGGUCACGGUCUAGAUCACAUUCGAGAUCCAGAGGUAGGCGAUACUCUCGCUCACGCAGCAGGAGCAGGGGAAGGAGGUCAAGAUCAGCAUCUCCACGAAGAUCAAGGUCUGUGUCUCUUCGGAGAUCAAGAUCAGCUUCACUCAGACGAUCUAGGUCUGGUUCUAUAAAAGGAUCGAGGUAUUUCCAAUCCCGGUCGAGGUCAAGAUCAAGAUCUAGGUCUCUUUCACGACCAAGAAGCAGCCGAUCAAAGUCCAGAUCUCCAUCUCCAAAAAGAAGUCGUUCCCCAUCAGGAAGUCCACGAAGAAGUGCAAGUCCUGAAAGAGUGGACUGAAGUUCUCAAGUUCACCUUUUAGGGAAAAAUUAUUUUGUUUACAUUAUUAUAAGGGAUUUGUGAUGUCUGUAAAGUGUAACCUAGGAAGGGUAUUUCAACCAUCUAAUCAAAAUGGAUCUGGAUUAUUACUCUGUAAAUUCACAGCAGUAAGAUAAUAUAAAUUUUUGUUGAAUGUAUUAACAUCCUAUGGUCUGAAAAUG